AGGACGAACGCUGGCGGCGUGCUUAACACAUGCAAGUCGAGCGGAAAGGCCCUUCGGGGUACUCGAGCGGCGAACGGGUGAGUAACACGUGGGCAACCUGCCCCUAGCUCUGGGAUAACUCCGGGAAACCGGUGCUAAAUACCGGAUACGACCUCAUUAGGCAUCCUUUGAGGUGGAAAGAUUUAUCGGCUAGGGAUGGGCCCGCGGCCUAUCAGCUUGUUGGUGGGGUAACGGCCUACCAAGGCGACGACGGGUAG
Molecule: ribosomal RNA, 257 nt
Filed under: uncultured bacterium
Lineage: Bacteria
Description: partial small subunit ribosomal RNA
Rfam family: Bacterial small subunit ribosomal RNA
Source: RNAcentral